UCUUUCCGAUAUUUAAAGUUAGUACACUUGACUUGAAAUCAUUUAGUGUUGAUUAAUAUCCAAGGAAAGAUA
This 72-nucleotide transfer RNA is filed under the name Hasemania nana. RNAcentral describes it as "tRNA-Gly". Lineage: Eukaryota; Metazoa; Chordata; Actinopteri; Characiformes; Acestrorhamphidae. The record is from RNAcentral.